This is a long non-coding RNA of Oncorhynchus nerka (sockeye salmon), 13176 nucleotides long. RefSeq lists it as uncharacterized. Lineage: Eukaryota; Metazoa; Chordata; Actinopteri; Salmoniformes; Salmonidae. The record is from RefSeq and is a predicted model, not a curated record. The transcript has 2 exons.
GGUGGUGAUUGACUCCGCUGUCCUGGCGUCGUGAGGGAGUUUGUUCCACCAUUGGGGGGCCAGAGCAGCGAACAGUUUUGACUGGGCUGAGCGAGAACUGUACUUCCUCAGUGGUAGGGAGGCGAGCAGGCCAGAGGUGGAUGAACGCAGUGCCCUUGUUUGGGUGUAGGGCCUGAUCAGAGCCUGGAGGUACUGAGGUGCCGUUCCCCUCACAGCUCCGUAGGCAAGCACCAUGGUCUUGUAGCGGAUGCGAGCUUCAACAGCAUUGGGAAGUGGUCAAGGUUGGUGGAGCAGUCUCUCCAUCUCUCCAUCUUGACUGGUUGUCUGACUAGAGGAUCUUCCUUUCCCUCCCUCCAUCUUGACUGGUUGUCUGACUAGAGGAGCUUCCUUUCCCUCCCUCCAUCUUGACUGGGUGCCUGACUAGAGGAGCUCUCUGUCUCUCUCCCUCCAUCUUGACUGGGUGUGAGACUAGAGGAGUAAAGUACAAUCAUUCUGUCACCAAACCGAGAUGAGACGUUUGUUAGGAUCUGUGUAGUAGCAGGUUAUUCUCAUGCUGUUCCCUGUGAGGUCAAGCCACCCAGUCGAUUGUGUUAGGGCGAACAAACGCACACGCCCAAACACAGGGGCUCCCGAGUGGCGCAGCGGUCUAAGGGACUGCAUCUCAGUGCAAGAGGCGUCACUAUAGUACCUGUAUCAAAUCCAGGCUGUAUCACAGCUGGCUGUGAUUGGGAGUCCAUAGGGCGGCACACAAUUGGCCCAGCAUCGUCCGGGUUAGGCCGGAGUAGGCAGUCAUUGUAAAUAAGAAUUUGUUCUUAUUGACUUUAACUGACUUGCCCAGUUAAAUCAAUAAAGUCAACCCUCUGGUAUUUAUUUUUUAUCUUGCCGUAGUGUAAAUCUCCUCACCUGUACUGUUGGACCACUGUCCUCCUCACAUUCUUGCUCCAUGAGUCAGGGCUGCCAAUCAUUAUAGGCUCUCUACCAGGUACUCUCUGGUGGCUAUGGUUAGCCACCUGUGGUUACCUUAGCCUUAACCACUGCUAUCUGCUCUUGCCGUGAGCAACUGCUCCACCAACCUUGACCACUUCCCAAUGCUGUUCAAAGCCUAAUCUAAGGCUGUGUUUACACAGGCAGUCCAAUUCUGAUCUUUUGCCACUAUUUGGUCUUUUGACCGAUCAGAUCCUUUGCCCAUAAUUGGGCAGAAGAUCAGAGUUGGGCUGCCUGUGUAAACGCAGCCUAAGUGAUGUGCUGUAUUCAGACAUUCUCAGAUUUAUACAUUUAGAAAUGGUGUAAACACACACCACAGCUGGAAUGCAUGCUCUCUUGGGAAUUUUAGAUAGCUUUAGUUUGUUUACCUUUUAGACGACAUGUCCUGCCAAGUUCAGUCCGAAAGCUGUUGAGGUCAGAGGUCAGCGUUGCGUACAAUGUCCGCAUCGGCUUUCUAGUGAUGAAUUCUGGGUCCUGACUCCUAAACCUGAAAUAAGGUUAAUUAUCAGGUAUCCUAUUGAAAUAUUGAGUCCCAUGGUUUAGAGGGUUUACAGCAGAAGUUAAUGGUUAUCUGUAAGGGGAAGGUAUAUGGUGGAGGCAAUUAAGCUUGGAAUGUACUGAGUGUAGGGGAAACAAUCACAUUGAUAAAGGGAGUCAUGGAUUAGUGAUGAAGGGGGUGGAGGUCAGGUCACGUUAAGGGAGAAGGAACAGUUUAUUGCCCGUCUCGUUUCCUGCCUAGCAGGUUUAGCGAGAAGGAGGAGACUCCACCCAAAGUGGGCUACAUAUACCACCACCGUUGUAAAUAUGUUUUUGUCGGUUCAGAUCCUUUUUGGGAAGAAUAAACUUGGUUUAAGCUUUCAUAGUGUCUGAAUUCUUACUGUGAUAAGUAGAACCUAGAGUCUCGCCUGGAUGUUGAGCAUUGAGAAAUGGACCUACGUUAUAUUUGAUAACGAUAUACAACUUGCCUGUUUGGCUUCCAUGUGUUUAUCACUUAAAGACCACACUUGUUAAAUGUAAAUGCAGUUUCUGGCUUCUUAAAAACGGUCUCCUCACUCAUUUAGUUGCUGGCUCUCUGUUAGGGAACUUCUUUAUUUAUUAUAUUUUUUUUCUCUUGUAUUUUUCCCUGAGCUAAUUAGUGUGUGAUGACUGGGGGAGAUUUCAAGGAACAGAUGGCUAGCUGGUCGAGCUAAACUCUCAGGCCAUGCGGAGAAACUGAACUCACUCAACCCAGGAUUCCAGAACAUCUAGAAGCCAGCCGGCGAUUUCUGUUUUCCAAGAAUCUCACCAUGUGACCACUAGCGUCUUCCUCAGAUGCUGUGCCACCACCAGUCAACACGAUGGGCCACUGCACCUCCUGGCAGAGAAUCUCACCAUGUGACCACUAGCGUCUUCCUCAGAUGCUGUGCCACCACCAGUCAACACGAUGGGCCACUGCACCUCCUGGCAGAGAAUCUCACCAUGUGACCACUAGCGUCUUCCUCAGAUGCUGUGCCACCACCAGUCAACACGAUGGGCCACUGCACCUCCUGGCAGAGAAUCUCACCAUGUGACCACUAGCGUCUUCCUCAGAUGCUGUGCCACCACCAGUCAACACGAUGGGCCACUGCACCUCCUGGCAGAGAAUCUCACCAUGUGACCACUAGCGUCUUCCUCAGAUGCUGUGCCACCACCAGUCAACACGAUGGGCCACUGCACCUCCUGGCAGAGAAUCUCACCAUGUGACCACUAGCGUCUUCCUCAGAUGCUGUGCCACCACCAGUCAACACGAUGGGCCACUGCACCUCCUGGCAGAGAAUCUCACCAUGUGACCACUAGCGUCUUCCUCAGAUGCUGUGCCACCACCAGUCAACACGAUGGGCCACUGCACCUCCUGGCAGAGAAUCUCACCAUGUGACCACUAGCGUCUUCCUCAGAUGCUGUGCCACCACCAGUCAACACGAUGGGCCACUGCACCUCCUGGCAGAGAAUCUCACCAUGUGACCACUAGCGUCUUCCUCAGAUGCUGUGCCACCACCAGUCAACACGAUGGGCCACUGCACCUCCUGGCAGAGAAUCUCACCAUGUGACCACUAGCGUCUUCCUCAGAUGCUGUGCCACCACCAGUCAACACGAUGGGCCACUGCACCUCCUGGCAGAGAAUCUCACCAUGUGACCACUAGCGUCUUCCUCAGAUGCUGUGCCACCACCAGUCAACACGAUGGGCCACUGCACCUCCUGGCAGAGAAUCUCACCAUGUGACCACUAGCGUCUUCCUCAGAUGCUGUGCCACCACCAGUCAACACGAUGGGCCACUGCACCUCCUGGCAGAGAAUCUCACCAUGUGACCACUAGCGUCUUCCUCAGAUGCUGUGCCACCACCAGUCAACACGAUGGGCCACUGCACCUCCUGGCAGAGAAUCUCACCAUGUGACCACUAGCGUCUUCCUCAUAUGCUGUGCCACCACCAGUCAACACGAUGGGCCACUGCACCUCCUGGCAGAGAAUCUCACCAUGUGACCACUAGCGUCUUCCUCAGAUGCUGUGCCACCACCAGUCAACACGAUGGGCCACUGCACCUCCUGGCAGAGAAUCUCACCAUGUGACCACUAGCGUCUUCCUCAGAUGCUGUGCCACCACCAGUCAACACGAUGGGCCACUGCACCUCCUGGCAGAGAAUCUCACCAUGUGACCACUAGCGUCUUCCUCAGAUGCUGUGCCACCACCAGUCAACACGAUGGGCCACUGCACCUCCUGGCAGAGAAUCUCACCAUGUGACCACUAGCGUCUUCCUCAGAUGCUGUGCCACCACCAGUCAACACGAUGGGCCACUGCACCUCCUGGCAGAGAAUCUCACCAUGUGACCACUAGCGUCUUCCUCAGAUGCUGUGCCACCACCAGUCAACACGAUGGGCCACUGCACCUCCUGGCAGAGAAUCUCACCAUGUGACCACUAGCGUCUUCCUCAGAUGCUGUGCCACCACCAGUCAACACGAUGGGCCACUGCACCUCCUGGCAGAGAAUCUCACCAUGUGACCACUAGCGUCUUCCUCAGAUGCUGUGCCACCACCAGUCAACACGAUGGGCCACUGCACCUGCUGCGUCUCUCACCAUCCUACUGGACUGAUCGAUCUAGUCCUGAGAGGAGAAAAAAAACAAGAGGUCCUUUUGAGGGCAGUGCUAUGUUCGCUUUAGCCCCACCGUCUCCCAUUUCCUGAGAAUGAGGGUUCUAUCCUGUAUGCAUAUUCUCUGUGUGGUCAGAGAUGAGCCUGUAUGCUAGCUACGACUAUGCAUUUUAAAAGUACGGUGCCAACAAUUUAACAAAAUGAAUAUAGGGGAAACACUGGUAUCAUAUGACUCACUGUAACACUGUUUGGACUUUUCAGAUUAUGGAGGGAAAGUUUGUCAUUAGACUUUAGUUUUUGCAAUUAUGCAGAUCACAUUCGUAAGCAAUUUGAGAUAAUUGACGUUGUGAUGCACACUGCUGUUGAGAUGAACCACCUCCGGUUAAAGAUGACUCAGUUCUACGACGUCAAUGGGAGAAAGAGAGCGGGAGUGUGUACACACACGUUAAUGCACUGCCUAUUGGGAUUCAUAUCACUUUUGAUUAGCUUGUUCUGGCAUGUCCUAUAUGCAAAUGUGCCUAUGUAGGUGACACACUCAGUCAAAUGAAAGGGAAACAGUUUGAAUGUUGAAACUCGUUCACAACGACAAGUUGAGACGAAUUAAUCAAAGGAUAUAGUGUGCAUAUGAUCCCUGCGUGAAGGUCUCUCACAUUUGUCCUAAUGAUAACAAUAACCCAUUACAAUCCCAGAUGAGUGUGUGUGUGUUCCUCUACCCCUAGCCAACAUCGCUUUGUGGCUCUGCUUUAGCAAUGAGUCACCCACUUCUUCGACAGACAUAUAGCAGACUGAGACGUAUUGCCUUCUACUGCAUUGUCUUAUCACCGUGUUUGGGGUUUGUUUCCGGGACGUUCCAAUCUAGACGCUCAUUACUACAAAUCUAGUUAUCUCUUCGAGGAAGCAAAAUAUGAUUUUGUGUCUGAAGAGUCUGUAUUAAAUACGUAUGUGGGUAAUCGAGAUGGCCAUUUUUCCUUUGACUGUUGGAGUACUCGCAUUACUUAUUUUCAGAGGACUCCAAUGGGGAAAAUGUAACAUUUUAAAAUAAGGGCCACACUAGAAAAACAUUUGCACAUUUAUCUAAUACUGAACAAAACUAUUAAGGCAACAUGAAACAAUUUCAAUGAUUUUACUGAGUUAGUUCAUAUAAGUAAGUCAGUCAAUUAAAUUCGAGGCCCUAAUCUAUGGAUUAGGAUUGAGGCGCAGCUAUGGGUGGGCCUGGGAGGGCAUAGGCCAACCCACGUGGGAGCCAGACCCACCCACUGGGUAGCCAGGCCCAGCCAAUCAGAAUGAGUUUUUUUUCCCCACAAAAGUGCUUUAUUACAGACCGUAAUUCUCUUUCGUUUCAUCCGCUGUCCGGGUUGGCUGGUCUCCGAGGUCAAACCUACCUGUAUUGCUGUUUCAUAGACGAGGUGAUUUAUUUUUAUUGGUAUAAUCACAAUGAAUUCUAGUCUCAGCAUCAUUGCCAGAGCGUCACAGGCUGACUGCAUCUUCUCUCUACCCCAGAUGGCUGGAUUACACUGUUUUAAUUCCUGCUCCAGUGUACUAAUCACAUUCAUAAAUCUGUCAAAAGCCCCCAGGGAAGUGGUUUGGACUAAUGACAGACACGGGCAGAUUGGGAUGAGGGUUUGUUUGGCUGCAUUUACACAGGCAGCCCAAUUCUGAUAUUUUGCCAAUAAUCAGGUGAAAUACCAUAACUGGGCUUCCUGUGUAAAGACAGUCUUUGUAUGUUACGGGAGUGCAGGCCUCCCGGUUGGCGCAGUGGUCUAGGGCACUGCAUCGCAGUGCUAGCUGUGCCACCAGAGACUCUGGGUUCGUGCCCAGGCUCUGUCGCAGCCGUCCGCUCCGUGGGGCGAUGCACAAUUGGCCUAGUGUCGCCCGGGUUAGGGAGGGUUUGGCCGGUAGGGAUAUCCUUGUCUCAUCACGCACUAGCGACUCCUGUGGUGGGCCGGGCGCAGUGCACGCUAACCAGGUCGCACGGUGUUUCCUCCAACAGCUGGCUUCCGGGUUGGAUGUGCGUUGUGUCAAGAAGCCGUGCGGCUUGGUUGUGUUGUGUUUCGGAGGAUGCAUGGCUCUCGACCGUCGCCUCUCCCGAGUCCGUACGGGAGUUGCAGCGAUGAGACAAGACUGUAGACACUACCAAUUGGGGAGAAAAAGGGGUAUAACAUUUUUUUUUUUAAAGAGAAAGUUAUAGACGCACAAAUAUAAUUUAUUUGUAUUUAACGAGGCAAGUCGGUUAAGAACAAAUUAUUAUUUUACAAUGACGGCCUCCUAACCCGGAUGCUGGGCCAAAACUGCGGUGGACUACAUACAAGUAAUGUCAUUUCUAAACGGUUCACUCAAUAUGGAUGAAAAUACUCUCAAAUUAAAACGGUCAGGCUACAAUUUAACCUCCUAGUUGGUCAUUGUAUCAUUUCAAAUCCCAUGUGCUGGAGUACAGAGCCAAAACAACCAAACGUGUUACUGUAUGUUAGUGUUACACUAGCCUGGGGAAGUUCCAUGGCGGAAAUCGGCUAAAGACUGGUCAGAACCCGGUGUAAAUCAGUGGCGCGGAGCUUCAAAGGUGCUCACCAGAUUAGUGCCGUAGGAGCAACAGUGAGGACUAAACAUGCCAACAAAACAACCGCUGGUGACACAACCAUUUUAGAAUGUUAGCAGCACGCGGGUUCACAGCAUUUAUCUGUUUAGAGAUGAGCUGAACCGCAGCAAGAGGACAUAGUCUCCCAUUCUGGCCAUAUCAAUAUUACGUGUUUUCGUUGAACCACAGAGCUUAGGCUAUCGGUCUACCACCACUUCAUUGGCAAGUUUUUCAUGUUGCUGACAUGCAGUACUGAUAACUGUAGGCUAUUAUACCACUUUUCUUGACAUUUUGUUUUAAUUAUUGUGAUCGGCUCAUGUUUUACCAGUACGGCGUACCCCCCCCCCCCCUCCACUACUUAUUUUUCCGGAUCGCCUUACCAGACCGCACCGCCUUACUUUCACCUCUGCAUUAUACUCCAAUUAAACAGAAGAUUAUGUUUCUAUUAUCUCUGUCCUCAAAGUUGAACCCUCGAGGGACUGGAGAAUCUUUUCCUAAUGUCCUCUCUCAAAAUGGCCAGUCCUAUCCAGUAGCCAACACUCUCAUUUUACUGACAGCUGGAGCUGCAAUUUCCCCCUCCUCCAUGGCAGUUAUCUACAAAUGCAUUUGCAGACCGUGUUUUUAAUUUACAAUAAUUACAUCAAGAUAGCACAACCAUGUGGUUGAAUGGAGACAAGGAAAAAAGAUCUUUGGCAUCAGAGCGAUUUUAGAACGUGUUGUGACAUUUGACUUUACCAGCGUAAUCCAAUUUCAAAAUAAAUCGCAGGCUGUCGGCCACACUUGAAAACUAGCACUUCAAAGUAGCAUAGUCAACAACAACCCUUCUACGGGCGUGGGGGAGUGUUCUUGAAAUGUGACAUCCAAUCAAAAUCACCGAACAAUUCAAACUGUUUUUGCAAAACAAAAUUCUCUCAACAAUGUUAUUUUGAAGGCAUGGCAACGCAAGACUAGUAUUACUCCCUUGUUCUUUCUGGAAAAGCUAAAUCCGUGCUGAUCACUUUCUCCACUCUAAUCACACAGACGGACUCUGAUUAGUGGACUGCUCUCUUCUUAGUCUGGCAUCAGACCAUGUCUCCCACUCAUUCCUUCUUGUGGGUUUGGGUGGGGGACUCCUGCUGCACUGAGACAGCAGUUAUUUUUCACCCCCGCUGACCUCUGAUCAAAAUGAAAGGCUUUCAUUACAGAAACACAAGUGUAGAUUAGAUAAGUAUGUGUCGGAGCUUGCAUGGGCUCUUUUUUUUAAAAAGCUCAUCUAAAAUAUAUUUUAUGAAUAUUAAAUGCAAGUGUAACGGUCUUUAUGUACAACAGAAGAACCAAGAAGUGAAGAGCGUCACCACUCUCUUUAUGGGCUUUUACAUAGAUCUGUAAUAUUAUGAAAAGACAGGACAGGAACACAUCAGUCUCCAACGCACCAUCUGACGAGUUGUUCUAUAGAGGAGCAUGAAGAAAGGUAAAACACAUCCUGUCUCACAUAUAAAAUGUUGUUAGUCACAUGCGCCGAAUACAAUAGGCGUAGAACUUACAGUGAAAUUCUUACUUAUAAAAGUAACAAGUAAUUUAAAGAGCAGCAGCAAAAUAACAAUAGUGAGACUAUAUACAGGGGGUACCGGUAGAGAGUCUAUGUGCGGUGGCACCAGUUAGUUAAUAUGUACAAGUAGGUAGUUAUUAAAGUGACUAUGCAUAGAUAAGAGAGUAGCAGCGGUGUAAAAAAAAAAGGGGGGGGGGGCAAUGCAAAUAGUCUGGGUAGCUAUUUGAUUAGUUGUUCAGGAGUCUUACGGCUUGGGGGUAGAAGCUGUUUAGAAGCUUAUUGGACCUAGACUUGGCACUCUGGUACCGCUUGCCAUGAGGUAGCAGAGAGAACAGUCUAUGACUAGGGAGGCUGGAGUCUUUGAUAAUUUUUAGGGCCUUCCUCUGACACCGCCUGGUAUAGAGGUCCUGGAUGGCAGGAAGCUUGGCCCCGGUGAUGUACUGGGCCAUAUAGACUACCCUCUGUAAUGCCUUGCGGUCAGAGGCCGAGUAGUUGCCAUACCAGGUAGUGAUGCAACCUGUCAGGAUGCUCUCGAUGGUGCAGCUGUAAAACCUUUUGAGGAUCUGAGGACCCAUGCCAAAUCUUUUCAGUCUCCUGAGGGGGAAUAGGUUUGUCGUGCCCUCUUCACAACUAUCUUGGUGUGCUUGGACCAUGUUAGUUUGUUGGUGAUGUGGACACCAAGGAACUUGAAGCUCUCAACCUGCUCCACUGCAGCCCCGUCCAUGAGAAUGGGGGCGUGCUCGGUCCUCUUUUUCCUGUAGUCCACAAUCAUUUGUCCUUUGUCUCUAAUACAUUGCCAGCUGCUUUCAGUGUUGACAGUAUUAAGAUACUUUGACACUCUGUAAAACUAUAUCAAUAACAAUGAUAAACUCUGAAAGUUGCAUGUUUCAAUAGUCUCACACUCAUAACAAUACCUAUAGCAUUAACCUUGGGAUGCUUUGUUUAUUUAACAUAAUGGAUUUCUAAUCUGCGACAUACUUUUUCUGUUUUCUCGGACUGCGGAGAACGGGUGCUACGGGUAGUACCAGAGUGUUAGGUGACGUAAGCACCCAGAUGAAAUCAAAUGCAUUUAAUGAAAUAAAAAUCGAAGAUGUUGAUAUCAUCCAGCUACUGUAGCUGCCUACUUAACAUCAACAGGCAGUACUAGUAGUGCAACAAUUGAAAAUAGAAACCAAAAGUAAAGAUCAUAGAGCUCUGACUCUCCCCUUCUGUCUAAACUUGGAAUAUUCCUUUUUGUAGGUUUGGGUCACUGGCCCUUAACCUGGUUGUUCUGCGUAGUGCACUAUUUUAAUAAUUUGUUAAAUUUGAUGGAAUGACCAUUUUAACUCUCCUACACAAGCGUCACAGAGCUUGAAUUUUUAAAAAAUGUCACGAGUUUGAGUCACUUAGUCUUUCGUACCGUGUAUCAAAACACGACCCGUUAGACCCUAUGUCCAGUUGGAGGUGUAAAUAAUUCCCACUUCCCCAGUCCAAUGUCUUGUUAAAACUGGACCACUUACAGUAGCUGAGAAAGAAGCUUUUAUGUAUGGGGAAAUUUCCUCCUGCACAACACAAGCCCAGCUCUGUGCCGCGACCAGCAAUGUGAGCAGCCAACACGUUGACUCAUAGAACCAACCCUCAGCUCUCUGGUAUUAGUGAGUCACCCUUUAAACAUACCCCCAGAGAGGGGGAGAGAGGUUGAACGUCGCUCGUGCUUCCCAAGCCGAGAGCACUCCGGAGUGGGGGAGACGGUUUGGAGAUAACAUGUCUGCCCUGGUUCUCUCCUGCAAACAUGGAGCUGCCUGCCAAGGUCUACCGAUGUUAAUCACAGCUGUGUUUGUGUAGCACGCUCACACUUUCUUGUGAGUUUCGCUUCAGUUGGACACACCCACCUCAUUCUUUCUCCCGCCUUUUCCUUUUCUCUCGUUCCUGUGUGAUCUCUCUUGUUCUCUCGCUCUCUCAAUUCAAUAGACUCUAUUGGCAUGGCAAGUUAAAUUACUUAAAUGUUCAAAGUACACAACAAUAGUCGGACAGUAGAGGUAAUGAUAUGACAACAAUGGUAAAUGAGAAUAAUAAUACAUUAAAGCUAUAUUAGUAGGCUAGUCUCAACAUGACUGAAACCUAGUCCCCUCUGGGUUUCUCUGGCUCUCCCUAAGAAAACAGGGUGGAUUUAAUCGCACGAGACCUCUCAGCUUCUCUGUAAAUGAAGUGUUCUCUGAGACUGCUUAGGUUAAGUUGUUCAGAAGGCAGGCUAAUGUUCUUUUCUACCCAGUAAUGUUAAACUCUCCUGUAAAAAAAACUAAAAACAACAUGGAAUAUUUACCCUGCAGAGACCCUACUAAAAUAAAACAAAUACCAGGGAAUUGUGCAUGUAUAUGACAGAUCCCUGAAAUUCAUUGGGGUAGGAUUUGCAAUGUAAAGACUGUAUUCUAAUGUAGUUACAACUUUCUGGGAAAUGAUGGGGGGUUAGAAUGGCUCUGGUCUACAGUCAAUGUUGUGGGCAAGCUCUGAAUCCACAAAUCCCAUAUAGCUGUAAUUCUGGGAAUUCACGACUUGCUACAGGUCAUGACAGAAUGUGGGGAUCUAGGCAUGCGUUUUCCAGAGAUAAGGGAUUACAUCGGGACUGUUUUGAUCCCAGACACUAUCCCCUGUUCACAUGCCAACACAUCUAUAUGUAGGACGGUUUAAAGUAGAAAAACAUUAAAUCCUGGGUGAAGAGUACAUGUUUCCACAGUUUUUAAAUUAAAAAGCAGAAUCCUCCCGAAUCCGGAUCUAAAAGAUUUAGUCAUUGGAUGUGUGAAACUUGAGAGGUUGACUUUGAACCUGACCUCCAGUGAGCUUUAGGUCUCAAGCAUCAGGCUCAACUUCCUUACAAUAGCAUUGUGUAGGACAGAUCUCAUCAGCCAUCAUGCUCAGAACACCAGGAUAAACAGAAUGAGACAACAUCUGUAUAGAUCACAUCAGUUUAGUUGGGGAACAUGAUUUUAUGAUUACUGGCGCUCGGAUAGUAACAUAAUCUGAUGGGGGCAAUGCAUCACACAACACCAUCCUGAUUACUUUGAUUUGGCUGGAGAUCAGUGCAGCUCAGACAGUUGACAUUUUAAACUCCACCAGGCCCAAAUUCCACCAUAAUGAAUCUGUCCCCAGGGCUUUACUACAGCCUCGUCAAUCAGUGCGUCUCUUCGUUAACAGUCAUCACACAAUGAGCCCAACGUGUUCUAGAUGUUAGCGAGAGAACAAUCCCUUCAUCUCUAUUUUAAUCAAAAUGGUUAUUUUUGUCUUUUCUUGGCUGUUCAUUGGUCUUUCGUCAUUCCUGGAAUGGCAAAGCUUUGUAUUUUUAGAUUAUCAACAGAGUUGGUGGAUUAAAAACAUUCCACUUAGAAGAACAGCCAGCAGCAAUUACUAAGAGUAAUUAAUGAACUGGUUCCUGGGCUGCUUUAGUGUUGUGUUGGUUCCUGGGCUGCUUUAGUGUUGUGUUGGUCCCUGGGCUGCUUUAGUGUUGAGUUAGUGUUGGCUCGCUCUCCUACAGCUGGAAUAUGUCCAGUCACAGCCUCAAACCUAAAUGAUUUUUCAAUUCUGGUCAUCAAAUGAAUGCAGCCUCACAUGUGGGAGCUGAGUGCGAAACCUCUGUUCAGUGUUAGUCUUGUCCAUACACACACACACACACACACACAACUGGCACAUGUUGUAAUGGGGUACAGGAUUGUACACAGCAUGUGGUUAUUUCCCCAGUCCCUGUCUCUUUUUAAGAGUCUGUUGGUAUGUAUCUAUAUGGAAGUGUAGAAAUGUGAGCAGGCCUGCCACUGUGAUGUCACAGACUUGUCCUCCUCCUCUAGGCUUUGGAUGUUAACCUUUAUCCUUAAAAGUCUGGAUGACAGUACUGUGUGUGUGUGUGUGUGUGUGUGUGUGUGUCAGGAAUAAAAUGCAGUGCCACACCCAGACAUUUUUGCAGAGUAUUUAGGUCCAUUCCAUCUGUAGGCUAAAUCUUGUUUUGACCUGCAGAAAUGGAGACUGGGAGAGAAACAGAGGGAUGUUAGUCUACUAUCGAUGUUUGGGACAACAUCUGCCAGGCUACUGUAAAAACAACUUGCUAUGGAACACUUGAUACAUAGUUCUUAAGCUCUACUGUAAAUACAACAUGUGAUGGAACAUCUCAUACAUAGUUCUUAAGCUCUACUGUAAAAACAACAUGCUAUGGAACACUUGAUACAUAGUUUAAGCUCUACUGUAGAAACAACAUGCUAUGGAACAUUUGAUACAUAGUUUAAGCUCUACUGUAGAAACAACAUGCUAUGGAACAUUUGAUACAUAGUUCUUAAGCUCUACUGUAAAAACAUGUGAUGAAACAUCUCAUAAAUAGUUCUUAAGCUCUACUCUAUGACUUCUAGUAAUGUACCUGUGAUGAAACUGUCACCCUCUACCUUCAUUUUUUCGUCUCAUUCAGUGUCCAUGAUGUUGUUAAAGAGCAUAGCGUCUGAACCCUCUGCCCCCCCCUCCCUACAGGAGUUCACCUAAAAGCCAGCCUGCUCUCAGCGAGUGAAGGAUUAGGGAGAGAAGUAGAGGGAGGGAUGCUGAAGCUAACAUGAAAUGACAACUUUUUGUUUCGGGGUUUCCAUGGAGACAGUUGUGUGUACCACCGUCACCUGGGGCGAUGUCAUCGGCGCUGCCCCUGCCACCUCGCAGCACACUGCCCCCACCACCACACACAAAGUUGAGUUGCAUUUACCCUAAUGAAAACCGAGAUGACAAAUUUCCCCUUACAUACAUUUAGCUAACACAGUUCAUUGUGAAUGGAUAUAAGCCUAGAGCAACGCAUAAGGUCAUUGUAUAUCUACAAUACACAUCAACACUUGAGAUGACCUCAGCAUGUAAGAUAUUUUGGGUUUCUACCUUCUAAUGUCUGAAGUAAAAGUAAUGUAACAUACUGUAUUGUGAUUCCUGAAAAUGUGUAAUUUGCUUUGUAGGCCUACUGGGCAUUUCUGUUUGUCUAAAUAUCCUCACUUGUGAUGUUC